AGAGUUUGAUCAUGGCUCAGGACGAACGCUGGCGGCGUGCCUAAUACAUGCAAGUAGAACGCUGAAGAGAGGAGCUUGCUCUUCUUGGAUGAGUUGCGAACGGGUGAGUAACGCGUAGGUAACCUGCCUGGUAGCGGGGGAUAACUAUUGGAAACGAUAGCUAAUACCGCAUAAAAUUGAUUAUUGCAUGAUAAUUAAUUGAAAGAUGCAAUUGCAUCACUACCAGAUGGACCUGCGUUGUAUUAGCUAGUUGGUGAGGUAACGGCUCACCAAGGCGACGAUACAUAGCCGACCUGAGAGGGUGAUCGGCCACACUGGGACUGAGACACGGCCCAGACUCCUACGGGAGGCAGCAGUAGGGAAUCUUCGGCAAUGGGGGGAACCCUGACCGAGCAACGCCGCGUGAGUGAAGAAGGUUUUCGGAUCGUAAAGCUCUGUUGUAAGAGAAGAACGGGUGUGAGAGUGGAAAGUUCACACUGUGACGGUAUCUUACCAGAAAGGGACGGCUAACUACGUGCCAGCAGCCGCGGUAAUACGUAGGUCCCGAGCGUUGUCCGGAUUUAUUGGGCGUAAAGCGAGCGCAGGCGGUUAGAUAAGUCUGAAGUUAAAGGCUGUGGCUUAACCAUAGUAUGCUUUGGAAACUGUUUAACUUGAGUGCAGAAGGGGAGAGUGGAAUUCCAUGUGUAGCGGUGAAAUGCGUAGAUAUAUGGAGGAACACCGGUGGCGAAAGCGGCUCUCUGGUCUGUAACUGACGCUGAGGCUCGAAAGCGUGGGGAGCAAACAGGAUUAGAUACCCCGGUAGUCCAA
Molecule: ribosomal RNA, 807 nt
Filed under: uncultured bacterium
Lineage: Bacteria
Description: bacterial SSU rRNA
Rfam family: Bacterial small subunit ribosomal RNA
Source: RNAcentral